ACAGAGGUCCCAAGCGUUGUUCGGAUUCACUGGGCGUAAAGGGUGCGUAGGUGGCCAGGUAAGUCUGAUGUGAAAUCUCGAAGCCUAACUUCGAAACUGCAUCGGAUACUAUCUGGCUGGAGGUCUGGAGGGGGGACUGGAAUUCUCGGUGUAGCAGUGAAAUGCGUAGAUAUCGAGAGGAACGCCAAUGGCGAAGGCUAGUCCCUGGACAGAUCCUGACACUGAGGCACGAAAGCUAGGGGAGCAAACAGGAUUAGAUACCCUGGUAGUCCUAGCCGUAAACGGUGCACGUUUGCUGUGAGAGGAAUCGACCCCUUUCGUGGCGAAGCUAACGCGUUAAACGUGCCGCCUGGGGAGUACGGCCGCAAGGUUA
Molecule: ribosomal RNA, 373 nt
Filed under: uncultured bacterium
Lineage: Bacteria
Description: bacterial SSU rRNA
Rfam family: Bacterial small subunit ribosomal RNA
Source: RNAcentral